GCGCGAAAACUUUGCAAUGCGGGAAACCGUGACAAGGGAACUCUGAGUGCCCGUAAAAUCGGGCUGUCCAUCGGUUUAAAUAACCGGUGAAGAAAGGGCCGGGCAAGACCGGUGCCAGCCGCCGCGGUAAUACCGGCGGCUCGAGUGGUGGCCACUAUUACUGGGCUUAAAGCGUUCGUAGCUGGUCUGUUAAGUCUCUGGGGAAAUCUUCCGGCUUAACCGGAAGGCGUCUCAGGGAUACUGGCAGACUAGGGACCGGGAGAGGUGAGUGGUACUCCAGGGGUAGGA
Molecule: ribosomal RNA, 288 nt
Filed under: uncultured archaeon
Lineage: Archaea
Description: partial 16S rRNA
Rfam family: Archaeal small subunit ribosomal RNA
Source: RNAcentral